Molecule: ribosomal RNA, 128 nt
Filed under: uncultured eukaryote
Lineage: Eukaryota
Description: partial small subunit ribosomal RNA
Rfam family: Eukaryotic small subunit ribosomal RNA
Source: RNAcentral
CCCUGCCUUUUGUACACACCGCCCGUCGCACCUACCGAUUUCGAGUGGUGAGGUGAACUCUUCGGACUGCUGCGAGUGGAAAGUCGAGUGAACCUUAUCACUGAGAGGAAGGAGAAGUCGUAACAAGG